Molecule: ribosomal RNA, 309 nt
Filed under: uncultured bacterium
Lineage: Bacteria
Description: partial 16S ribosomal RNA
Rfam family: Bacterial small subunit ribosomal RNA
Source: RNAcentral
AGAGACAGCAGUCGCCGCGGUAAUACGGAGGAUCCAAGCGUUAUCCGGAAUCAUUGGGUUUAAAGGGUCCGUAGGCGGUCUUGUAAGUCAGUGGUGAAAGCCCAUCGCUCAACGGUGGAACGGCCAUUGAUACUGCAGGACUUGAAUUAUUGGGAAGUAACUAGAAUAUGUAGUGUAGCGGUGAAAUGCUUAGAGAUUACAUGGAAUACCAAUUGCGAAGGCAGGUUACUACCAAUUGAUUGACGCUGAUGGACGAAAGCGUGGGUAGCGAACAGGAUUAGAUACCCCUGUAGUCCCUGUCUCUUAUAA